This is a non-coding RNA of Lepisosteus oculatus (spotted gar), 409 nucleotides long. The record is from RefSeq and is a predicted model, not a curated record. NCBI's taxonomy places the organism in Eukaryota, Metazoa, Chordata, Actinopteri, Semionotiformes, Lepisosteidae.
GAAGGGGCAGCUGUAAAAGCUGCGUGGUUGGUUGUUUUAGGGUUGGGGAGUUGAGGUUGAAAGGUGGCGGAUACAGGUCUACCGUGAGUCCUGUGCAUAGAACACUUACCUCCUCUUCAGCAAGAAACAUCUUAACCUCAACCAUGUCUGACCAGGUUAAGACUUCAGCAGCAGACAAUAUGAGUGUGUUGCUGUUUGGUGUUGAGAGCUCAGGAUUUGCCCAGAUAGGAUUACCCCCAGUUGACUACAAUGAAAGCUUUUUUUAUCAUGCGAAACCUCUUGGAAAUCUGAAAGGCUUCUCUCACAUCCUGUUCACUCCAACUGGGUUAAUGUUUGCAGUCCGUAAUGCAGACGUCUAUGCAGGGUCUCCUCCAGUGAAUCCGGAUGAAGACUGGCUGACUACAGCCAA